This 329-nucleotide ribosomal RNA is filed under the name Campylobacter jejuni Cj2. RNAcentral's name for it is "bacterial LSU rRNA". It matches the Rfam family "Bacterial large subunit ribosomal RNA", at positions 1 to 349 of the family's 2925-position model. Lineage: Bacteria; Pseudomonadati; Campylobacterota; Epsilonproteobacteria; Campylobacterales; Campylobacteraceae. The record is from RNAcentral.
AAAGGUAAGCUACUAAGAGCGAAUGGUGGAUGCCUUGACUGGUAAAGGCGAUGAAGGACGUACUAGACUGCGAUAAGCUACGGGGAGCUGUCAAGAAGCUUUGAUCCGUAGAUUUCCGAAUGGGGCAACCCAAUGUAUAGAGAUAUGCAUUACCUAUAUAGGAGCGAACGAGGGGAAUUGAAACAUCUUAGUACCCUCAGGAAAAGAAAUCAAUAGAGAUUGCGUCAGUAGCGGCGAGCGAAAGCGCAAGAGGGCAAACCCAGUGCUUGCACUGGGGGUUGUAGGACUGCAAUGUGCAAGAGGUAAGUUUAGCAGAACAUUCUGGAAAG